This 432-nucleotide ribosomal RNA is filed under the name Triticum aestivum (bread wheat). RNAcentral's name for it is "partial small subunit ribosomal RNA". The record is from RNAcentral. Lineage: Eukaryota; Viridiplantae; Streptophyta; Magnoliopsida; Poales; Poaceae.
AUGUCCGGAUCCGGAGGUCAGGGCAAGUGGAUGGUCUCCUCCGUCAAGGAGGAGGACAUUACUAAGCUUCGGGCAGCCGGAUACCUGGCGAAGGAAAUCGCCCACCGUCUGCCGGCCGAGGGACAAGUCGUCCCCACGCCGAAGCCCAACGAGAGGGUGGUAUUCAUCCCUCAUUUCUUCCGCGGACUAGGGUUCCCACUCCACCCUUUCGUCCGCGGGCUGAUGUACUAUUACAGCAUAGAUUUCCAUGAUCUGUCCCCGAACUCCUUCCUCAACAUCUCGGCGUUUAUCGUCAUGUGUGAGGCCUUCCUCCGCAUCCAACCCCACUUCGGGCUAUGGCUCAAAGUCUUCAACGUGAAGCCGAAGGUGGUGGAUGGCCAGCAUGAGGAGUGCGGGGGAGCCAUGGUGAGUAAGCUGUCCAACGUCUCCAGG